UGUCUGUGCAGAGGGAUGUAAAUAUUUACGCUGUAGCCAAUAGACGGCAUUGGUUUGGAGUGGUGCUGUUCUUGGGGAUGAGGUGCGAUUAGCCAAAAAAAAAAAAGAAAAGAAUGUCAGUUCUCUUUGUUUUAGGGCAGGAUGACCAGCAACUGGUCAAAAUUCAUUAGGAUAUGAAUAUUUGUGAAGAUGACAUGCAUCCGUGUGCAUUCACCUUGCUUAUAUUGGCACAGCAGCGCGUUAGCAUGCAGCUAAACGAGCUGAGGAGCCCUUGAAGUGUUGUAUUUCAGCAGCGAGUUGUGUGAGUGCUCCUGCACACGUUGGUGUGCAUGCACGCCAAGUUUUGUGUGUGUGUGUGUGUGCACAGCACUUUUGCAGUUUGCAGCGUGCGUGAAAUCCGUGCAAGAAGCAAGCAAAGGGAACGAUCCGGUCUGCACGGAGCAGGAGCAUGCACUGCAGAGCAAAGAGCUGGUUUGUAAGAAAAAAGAGCCGUGUCUCAGUGUAUGAGGGGAAGAUCAGGGCUGUGAUGGAACAGCGUUGGAGAAAUCCUUCCUCUGGUUGGGAAGUUGCAGUUCAGACACAGUGCUGGCAUUCGGCAGAGCAGGAGUGAGCGCGCUGGGUUUGCUGCGAUGAGGUAAUCCUGAGCAGAGAUAAGGAAAGUGGUGCAUGUAUUAACCUGAAGGGAGCGGUGAUGUCAGCAAAGGGGAAGGAAAUCAAUGACUGCCAGGACCCCUUGGAUGCUCCAGGUGAUGCCCCAGUUCACCUUCGCUUGCUUCUGUGGGCUGCAUGGCUUCUGCAAGAUGAAGAGGAAGAAGGAGGAACCCAGUGCAGAGCAAGAGACAGCAGUGUGAGCAGCUGGGACGGGAGUGGGACAUCAGAGCUGCUGGGGGACAUUGGCUGUCCCCUCUCCUGUUGCCUCCAUAGGGAUCCCUGUGCUGCAGAGGUGGGACGGGGCAGGGAGUGUUGGGGGGCUCAGCACGGUGCUGAGAGCUCCAUCUGCCCUAAUGCACUGCAGCUCUGCUCAUUUUCUCUCUGCAGACAUCUGCCUGGCCAGGAGGGAGCUGAAGCAUGGGAGUGGCCAAACUGGGAGGCACCAGCUGGCGUUGCAGACAUUAUUGGGGUGCUGCAGCCAUCCUGCCACAUGCACUGAGCCCUCUGCACCCCAACAGCUGCAGUCGGAGGAAGAUUCCCCACCUCUCUGCCCUCACCCCAGCACUGCUCUGCGGACAAACCCUAAAGGGGUUUCCAAAAUCCAGGGUCAGACCAUGUCCUGCAUGGAUUAAUAGUGCUGGGGGGAGAGGGGUGAGUUGCCCGAGGGUGGUAAGUGCCCUCACUGCUGCAGAAUUGGCUGAACGUACAGGCAAGC
Molecule: long non-coding RNA, 1366 nt
Filed under: Chrysolophus pictus (golden pheasant)
Lineage: Eukaryota; Metazoa; Chordata; Aves; Galliformes; Phasianidae
Description: lncRNA (ENSCPIG00010005343.1)
Source: RNAcentral